This 337-nucleotide ribosomal RNA is filed under the name Escherichia coli. RNAcentral describes it as "bacterial SSU rRNA". It matches the Rfam family "Bacterial small subunit ribosomal RNA", at positions 1197 to 1533 of the family's 1533-position model. Lineage: Bacteria; Pseudomonadati; Pseudomonadota; Gammaproteobacteria; Enterobacterales; Enterobacteriaceae. RNAcentral also lists the same sequence under 3 other names. The record is from RNAcentral.
GGCCCUUACGACCAGGGCUACACACGUGCUACAAUGGCGCAUACAAAGAGAAGCGACCUCGCGAGAGCAAGCGGACCUCAUAAAGUGCGUCGUAGUCCGGAUUGGAGUCUGCAACUCGACUCCAUGAAGUCGGAAUCGCUAGUAAUCGUGGAUCAGAAUGCCACGGUGAAUACGUUCCCGGGCCUUGUACACACCGCCCGUCACACCAUGGGAGUGGGUUGCAAAAGAAGUAGGUAGCUUAACCUUCGGGAGGGCGCUUACCACUUUGUGAUUCAUGACUGGGGUGAAGUCGUAACAAGGUAACCGUAGGGGAACCUGCGGUUGGAUCACCUCCUUA